This is a long non-coding RNA of Mauremys mutica (yellowpond turtle), 1028 nucleotides long. RefSeq lists it as uncharacterized. The record is from RefSeq and is a predicted model, not a curated record. NCBI's taxonomy places the organism in Eukaryota, Metazoa, Chordata, Testudines, Geoemydidae. The transcript is spliced from 3 exons.
CUCUCCGUUAGUAGAGCGGAGCUCGCGUCUCCUCGUUCAGUCCUCUGCGCGGAGUCUCCUCACGCUCGUCGUUCAGUGCGCUGGCGCAAGGGUUGUUGCUGUGGGGUUGGAAGCAGGGCAGGUCUACACUACAGCAGGAAUCGAAGCUCUGAGAUCAAUCCACCGGAAGUUGAUUUAGCAGGUCUAGUAAAGACCCACCAGAUCGCUCUCUAGUCGACCCCUGUACUCUACUCCCAAUGAGAAGAGUAAGAGACAACAUGGAACUGGAUGUGAUUCUUGAGCCUGAUGUUCUUUGCUGGGAAGAGGACUUUACCUAUAGAUAACCUAGUGCUUUGAUACUGUGAAAUGUGAGUUGGAGUUUGCUUAACUCACACUGUGGGAAGGGAUGGGCAUUUAAGUACUUUACUGGUCAGCCUGUUAUACAUUCUUGUUUCCGAGAUGAUGGUGCUGUAAUACCUGUUCAAUUCUGAUUGAUUAAUUUGGGCGACACUGUGAAUAUUAAUGCUUUUGAGAGUGAAGGAUUGAUAUCACUAGCUGCAACCUGGCAUUAGAUAGGCCAGCACUGGGUAAUCUCCUCACACACAGCUUUGCCAGUAAUCUCAUUCAUGACAGUAGCCCCCACUAUGCCAGUCCUAUGAUCCCCCAUACUUCUGCCAGUGCUCCUCAUUCUUGACUUGUGACUUCUAUUGCGAGAAUCCUGGGUCUCUGAGUAAAAACUGGAGAUCAGGCCAAAGGAUUUGAUGUUUUGAAACUUGAAGAAACGUCAUCAGGGGACAAUGAUGCAGCCAACCCAACCCUUGUGUCCCAUGCCUUACACUUAGCUAGAUAUAUGAUCUUCUACAUAAAUUAGCUUAUUGUGGAGGUCCUCAUUAGCCAUGGCCAGCUUCCUGGCAAACAAUAUGUCAGCAGGUGUCAUUUAGUGCAUUUAACUUGUAUAAUGUAUUGUCAUGUUUGAUGGUUGGAAAUUGGGGGGGAGACACCUCAGUACUAACACUGUAAUGCCUAAUAAAGCAAGUUUCUGACAUGUA